This 83-nucleotide transfer RNA is filed under the name Cellulomonas carbonis. RNAcentral's name for it is "tRNA-Pro". The record is from RNAcentral. Lineage: Bacteria; Bacillati; Actinomycetota; Actinomycetes; Micrococcales; Cellulomonadaceae.
UGCCACGUGGUACGGCCGGUCCUCGGCCUUGGGGGUCGGGCCCUUGCCCUCGAGGGAACGGCGGUUCUUGCCCCCCGUGCCGA